RNAcentral lists this ribosomal RNA (449 nucleotides) under uncultured bacterium. RNAcentral describes it as "partial 16S ribosomal RNA". It matches the Rfam family "Bacterial small subunit ribosomal RNA", at positions 29 to 523 of the family's 1533-position model. The record is from RNAcentral.
AACGAACGCUGGCGGCAUGCCUAACACAUGCAAGUCGAACGAGACCUUCGGGUCUAGUGGCGCACGGGUGCGUAACGCGUGGGAAUCUACCCUUGGGUUCGGAAUAACAGUUAGAAAUGACUGCUAAUACCGGAUGAUGACGUAAGUCCAAAGAUCUAUCGCCCAAGGAUGAGCCCGCGUAAGAUUAGCUUGUUGGUGGGGUAAUGGCCUACCAAGGCGACGAUCUUUAGCUGGUCUGAGAGGAUGAUCAGCCACACUGGGACUGAGACACGGCCCAGACGCCUACGGGAGGCAGCAGUGGUGAAUAUUGGACAAUGGGCGAAAGCCUGAUCCAGCAAUGCCGCGUGAGUGAUGAAGGCCUUAGGGUUGUAAAGCUCUUUUACCAGGGAUGAUAAUGACAGUACCUGGAGAAUAAGCUCCGGCUAACUCCGCGCCAGCCGCCGCGGUAA